GGAAGGGCGGGUGCUAUACAUGCAAGUAGAACGCUGAAGAGAGGAGCUUGCUCUUCUUGGAUGAGUUGCGAACGGGUGAGUAACGCGUAGGUAACCUGCCUUGUAGCGGGGGAUAACUAUUGGAAACGAUAGCUAAUACCGCAUAACAAUGGAUGACUCAUGUCAUUUAUUUGAAAGGGGCAAUUGCUCCACUACAAGAUGGACCUGCGUUGUAUUAGCUAGUAGGUGAGGUAACGGCUCACCUAGGCGACGAUACAUAGCCGACCUGAGAGGGUGAUCGGCCACACUGGGACUGAGACACGGCCCAGACUCCUACGGGAGGCAGCAGUAGGGAAUCUUCGGCAAUGGGGGCAACCCUGACCGAGCAACGCCGCGUGAGUGAAGAAGGUUUUCGGAUCGUAAAGCUCUGUUGUAAGUCAAGAACGAGUGUGAGAGUGGAAAGUUCACACUGUGACGGUAGCUUACCAGAAAGGGACGGCUAACUACGUGCCAGCAGCCGCGGUAAUACGUAGGUCCCGAGCGUUGUCCGGAUUUAUUGGGCGUAAAGCGAGCGCAGGCGGUUUGAUAAGUCUGAAGUUAAAGGCUGUGGCUCAACCAUAGUUCGCUUUGGAAACUGUCAAACUUGAGUGCAGAAGGGGAGAGUGGAAUUCCAUGUGUAGCGGUGAAAUGCGUAGAUAUAUGGAGGAACACCGGUGGCGAAAGCGGCUCUCUGGUCUGUAACUGACGCUGAGGCUCGAAAGCGUGGGGAGCGAACAGGAUUAGAUACCCUGGUAGUCCACGCCGUAAACGAUGAGUGCUAGGUGUUGGAUCCUUUCCGGGAUUCAGUGCCGCAGCUAACGCAUUAAGCACUCCGCCUGGGGAGUACGACCGCAAGGUUGAAACUCAAAGGAAUUGACGGGGGCCCGCACAAGCGGUGGAGCAUGUGGUUUAAUUCGAAGCAACGCGAAGAACCUUACCAGGUCUUGACAUCCCGAUGCUAUUUCUAGAGAUAGAAAGUUACUUCGGUACAUCGGUGACAGUG
Molecule: ribosomal RNA, 1021 nt
Filed under: Streptococcus salivarius
Lineage: Bacteria; Bacillati; Bacillota; Bacilli; Lactobacillales; Streptococcaceae
Description: bacterial SSU rRNA
Rfam family: Bacterial small subunit ribosomal RNA
Source: RNAcentral